GAUGAAGAACGUAGCGAAAUGCGAUAAGUAGUGUGAAUUGCAGAAUUCAGUGAAUCAUCGAAUCUUUGAACGCACAUUGCGCCCCUUGGUAUUCCAUGGGGCAUGCCUGUUCGAGCGUCAUUUGUACCUUCAAGCUCUGCUUGGUGUUGGGUGUUUGUCUCGCCUCUGCGUGUAGACUCGCCUCAAAACAAUUGGCAGCCGGCGUACUUGUUUCGGAGCGCAGCACAUUUUGCGAUCCAGAUCAACGUACAGCGGCAUCCAAGAAGCCUUAUUUAACGCUCUUGACCUCGGAUCAGGUAGGGAUACCCGCUGAACUUAAGCAUAUCAAUAAGCGGAGGA
This 339-nucleotide unclassified non-coding RNA is filed under the name soil metagenome. RNAcentral's name for it is "partial contains 5.8S ribosomal RNA, internal transcribed spacer 2, and large subunit ribosomal RNA". The stretch from base 1 to 120 matches the Rfam family "5.8S ribosomal RNA", at positions 35 to 154 of the family's 154-position model. The record is from RNAcentral.